This 499-nucleotide ribosomal RNA is filed under the name uncultured Pseudomonadota bacterium. RNAcentral's name for it is "bacterial SSU rRNA". It matches the Rfam family "Bacterial small subunit ribosomal RNA", at positions 355 to 871 of the family's 1533-position model. Lineage: Bacteria; Pseudomonadati; Pseudomonadota. The record is from RNAcentral.
UGGGGAAUAUUGGACAAUGGGGGCAACCCUGAUCCAGCAAUGCCACGUGAGUGAAGAAGGCCAUAGGGUUGUAAAGCUCUUUCGGCGGGGACGAUGAUGACGGUACCCGCAGAAGAAGCCCCGGCUAACUCCGUGCCAGCAGCCGCGGUAAUACGGAGGGGGCUAGCGUUGUUCGGAAUUACUGGGCGUAAAGGGCGCGCAGGCGGCGGUUCAAGUCGGGCGUGAAAGGCCUGGGCUCAACCCGAGAAUGGCGCUCGAGACUGGACUGCUCGAGUCCGGGAGAGGAUGGUGGAAUUCCCAGUGUAGAGGUGAAAUUCGUGGAUAUUGGGAAGAACACCGGUGGCGAAGGCGGCCAUCUGGACCGGUACUGACGCUGAGGCGCGAAAGCGUGGGGAGCAAACAGGAUUAGAUACCCUGGUAGUCCACGCCGUAAACGAUGAGUGCCAGACGUCGGUGGGCAUGGCCCAUCGGUGUCGCAGCCAACGCGCUAAGCACUCCG